This 244-nucleotide ribosomal RNA is filed under the name uncultured bacterium. RNAcentral's name for it is "partial small subunit ribosomal RNA". It matches the Rfam family "Bacterial small subunit ribosomal RNA", at positions 26 to 285 of the family's 1533-position model. The record is from RNAcentral.
AGAAUCAACGCUGGCGGCGUGCCUAACACAUGCAAGUCGCACGAGAAAAGGACUUCGGUCCUGAGUACAGUGGCGCACGGGUGAGUAACACGUGAAUCAUCUACCUUCGAGUGGGGAAUAACUGAGAGAAAUCUUAGCUAAUACCGCAUAAUACCCACGGGUCAAAGCAGCAAUGCGCUUGAAGAGGAGUUCGCGGCAGAUUAGUUAGUUGGCGGGUAAUGGCCCACCAAGACUGUGAUCGGUA